Molecule: ribosomal RNA, 378 nt
Filed under: uncultured bacterium
Lineage: Bacteria
Description: bacterial SSU rRNA
Rfam family: Bacterial small subunit ribosomal RNA
Source: RNAcentral
UAAUACAGAGGGUGCGAGCGUUGUUCGGAAUUACUGGGCGUAAAGCGCGCGCAGGCGGCCCUUUAAGUCCGUCGGUCAAAUGCCGGGGCUCAACCCCGAGCGUGCCGAGGAUACUGGAGGGCUGGAGACACGUAGAGGCAAGCGGAAUUCCGGGUGUAGCGGUGGAAUGCGUAGAGAUCCGGAAGAACACCGGAGGCGAAGGCGGCUUGCUGGGCGUGAUCUGACGCUGAGGCGCGAAAGCGUGGGGAGCGAACAGGAUUAGAUACCCUGGUAGUCCACGCCGUAAACGAUGGGCACUAGACGCUGGUGGGAUCGACCCCUUCGGUGUCGCAGCUAACGCGAUAAGUGCCCCGCCUGGGGAGUACGGCCGCAAGGCUG